Long non-coding RNA from Brassica oleracea var. oleracea, 246 nucleotides. RefSeq lists it as uncharacterized. NCBI's taxonomy places the organism in Eukaryota, Viridiplantae, Streptophyta, Magnoliopsida, Brassicales, Brassicaceae. The record is from RefSeq and is a predicted model, not a curated record. The transcript is spliced from 2 exons.
CACGUUUAGGGAGAUCACCGUCAUCAGUGUCACUGCCACCUGGAAGAUAACGAGAUGCACCACCAGCAGUAUUGGUAUCUUGAACCUCAUCUAACUCUUCCUCGGUGCUACUUCCAUUUUCACUUUCACUUCCAGGCUGGUGAACAAUGUAACACAAUGAAAGGGGAGAGGUAAAUGUUAGGCAGUGGAAGCAAGGAGAAUCUACAUUCCACAUAAGACAUUCAAAAACAAGAAUCACAUUAAAAA